UUUGCAUAUCAAUAACGGAGGAAAAGAAACUAACAAGGAUUCCCUUAGUAACUGCGAGUGAAGAGGGAAAAGCUCAAAUUUAAAAUCUGGCAGUUUUGCUGUCCGAGUUGUAAUUUAGAGAAGUGUUACCCGUGUUGGACCGUGUAUAAGUCUCCUGGAAUGGAGCGUCAUAGAGGGUGAGAAUCCCGUCUUUGACACGGACUACCAAUGCAAUGUGGUGCGCUCUCGAAGAGUCGAGUUGUUUGGGAAUGCAGCUCUAAAUGGGUGGUAAAUUCCAUCUAAAGCUAAAUAUUGGCGAGAGACCGAUAGCGAACAAGUACCGUGAGGGAAAGAUGAAAAGAACUUUGGAAAGAGAGUUAAACAGUACGUGAAAUUGCUGAAAGGGAAACGCUUGAAGUCAGUCGCGUUGGCCAGGGAUCAGCCUUGCUUUUUGUGAGGUGUACUUCCUGGUUGACGGGUCAGCAUCAGUUUCAGCCACUGGAAAAAGGCUUGGGGAAUGUGGCACCUUUGGGUGUGUUAUAGCCCCUUGUUGUAUACAGUGGUUGGGACUGAGGAACUCAGCACGCCGCAAGGCCGGGUUUCGACCACGUUCGUGCUUAGGAUGCUGGCAAAAUGGCUUUAAGCGACCCGUCUUGAAACACGGACCAACAA
RNAcentral lists this ribosomal RNA (651 nucleotides) under Marasmius megistus. RNAcentral describes it as "eukaryotic LSU rRNA". It matches the Rfam family "Eukaryotic large subunit ribosomal RNA", at positions 35 to 672 of the family's 3401-position model. Lineage: Eukaryota; Fungi; Basidiomycota; Agaricomycetes; Agaricales; Marasmiaceae. The record is from RNAcentral.